This 253-nucleotide ribosomal RNA is filed under the name uncultured bacterium. RNAcentral describes it as "partial 16S ribosomal RNA". It matches the Rfam family "Bacterial small subunit ribosomal RNA", at positions 524 to 776 of the family's 1533-position model. The record is from RNAcentral.
UACGUAGGGGGCAAGCGUUGUCCGGAAUUAUUGGGCGUAAAGCGCGUGUAGGCGGCCAGAUAAGUCCGCUGUGAAAUCUCGAGGCUCAACUUCGAGCUGUCGGUGGAAACUGUCUGGCUAGAGUCCGGAAGAGGAGAAUGGAAUUCCUGGUGUAGCGGUGAAAUGCGCAGAUAUCAGGAAGAACACCCGUGGCGAAGGCGGUUCUCUGGGACGGUACUGACGCUGAGGAGCGAAAGCGUGGGGAGCGAACAGG